This 301-nucleotide ribosomal RNA is filed under the name uncultured bacterium. Its description in RNAcentral is "partial 16S ribosomal RNA". It matches the Rfam family "Bacterial small subunit ribosomal RNA", at positions 509 to 807 of the family's 1533-position model. The record is from RNAcentral.
CAGUCGCCACGGUAAUCCGUAGGGUGCAAGCGUUAAUCGGAAUUACUGGGCGCAAAGCGUGCGCAGGCGGUUCGUUAAGACAGAUGUGAAAUCCCCGGGCUUAACCUGGGAACUGCAUUUGUGACUGGCGGGCUAGAGUAUGGCAGAGGGGGGUAGAAUUCCACGUGUAGCAGUGAAAUGCGUAGAGAUGUGGAGGAAUACCGAUGGCGAAGGCAGCCCCCUGGGCCAAUACUGACGCCCAUGCACGAAAGCGUGGGGAGCAAACAGGAUUAGAUACCCGUGUAGUCCCUGUCUCUUAUAC